Molecule: ribosomal RNA, 253 nt
Filed under: uncultured bacterium
Lineage: Bacteria
Description: partial 16S ribosomal RNA
Rfam family: Bacterial small subunit ribosomal RNA
Source: RNAcentral
UACGAAGGGGGCUAGCGUUGCUCGGAAUCACUGGGCGUAAAGCGCACGUAGGCGGCCUCCUAAGUCAGAGGUGAAAUCCUGGAGCUCAACUCCAGAACUGCCUUUGAUACUGGGAGCCUUGAGUUCGGGAGAGGUGAGUGGAACUGCGAGUGUAGAGGUGAAAUUCGUAGAUAUUCGCAAGAACACCAGUGGCGAAGGCGGCCACCUGGACCAGCACUGACACUGAGGCACGAAAGCGUGGGGAGCAAACAGG